UACGGGGGGGGCAAGCGUUGUUCGGAAUUACUGGGCGUAAAGGGCUCGUAGGCGGCCAACUAAGUCAGACGUGAAAUCCCCAGGCUCAACCUGGGAACUGCGUCUGAUACUGGAUGGCUUGAAUCCGGGAGAGGGAUGCAGAAUUCCAGGUGUAGCGGUGAAAUGCGUAGAUAUCUGGAAGAACACCGGUGGCGAAGGCGGCAUCCUGGACCGGUAUUGACGCUGAGGCGCGAAAGCUAGGGGAGCAAACGGG
This 253-nucleotide ribosomal RNA is filed under the name uncultured bacterium. RNAcentral's name for it is "partial 16S ribosomal RNA". It matches the Rfam family "Bacterial small subunit ribosomal RNA", at positions 524 to 776 of the family's 1533-position model. The record is from RNAcentral.